Anas platyrhynchos (mallard) is the source of this 5189-nucleotide non-coding RNA. Lineage: Eukaryota; Metazoa; Chordata; Aves; Anseriformes; Anatidae. The record is from RefSeq and is a predicted model, not a curated record.
UCAAAGACCUCUUUCUUACCCUGGUAACUGUAGAGGGAGUAAGAAGAUCCUAACUCUGCAUCUGAUUUUCACUUCUGACACCUGGCAUCAGGGAACCAAGUGUUACUUAAGUGUUAGUUAAUUUAGAAACAGAUAAAUCCUCUCCUGGAUUUAGCCCUAAUCAUACGCAGAAGACACCUGAAUGCCAAGUGAGACCACAUCUGUGACCCUGCCAUUUCCCACAGAGUUGAAACAAUGCUGACCUCCUUACCCAGCUCUGCCCAGAAGCGGAGCAUCCCUAAAUGCACACAGCAGGAUUUGCUUGGCCAUCAUUAGAUCUAGUUUUGCCUCAGGGUCAGGGCCCUGGCCUUGUUCUCUUCUUAAAAGGCUCAGUAAGAGAAUGAGGAUUUCCUAUGCGAUGAAGGAAUAGCUAUUUGGCAAAAGGGUCAGUGCAGGAAAUUAAAGCCAUGUGCAAAAAGCAGCUGGUGAUGGUCACUGGCAAAGUUAAAGAAGCGGACUGCAGAAAUGUGUGCUGGGAUUAAAAAAAAGGUCCUCUGAAGAGAGAAGCUCUGUAGCAGUGUGCACUGGUAGGACAGUCGGCAGGAGAAAAGACCCAAGAAAGGUGCAGAGAAAAGUCCUGCCAGUGCUGUGUAUUGACAGCUGAAAUCUAGGCUUUCACGGGAAAACCACCAGAAGCUGAGGAGCACUUGAACCUCCUGGAAGCAUGACAAGAACUGGAAGCUGUACGCAAGGAUGUUAGAGGCAAGGCACAAUAUUCUUUCUUUUUUCUCCUUCUAUAUAAACUCACCAGAGGUGAUUAAUUGUAAGUACUGAAAGCAAAGGUGAUUGUUGAGGGGCAGAGGACUGUGCCACGUUGCGUUACUUGCAUUAUGCAGUCUGUGCAGGCACAGCAGAGAGGAGAGCAAUGGCUGCAGGGCCACUGAGCCAGACUAAGUGAUCCAGCUGUCUCUCCUGGCCUCAAGGUCCAUGAAUCUUAGUGCAAUCUUGUUCUGCUCUUGGAGUGGUUUUUUGUUUGUUUGUUUUUGUUUUGUUUUGUUUUCCCCAAAAGGCUGUGAUUCCCUUGGAAAAGGAUUUGUAAUGUCCUCUUAAUUGCAAAGGCUGGCAGCAUAAUGCUGAGCAUGGUCUCUACGGUUCAGUUAUAUGGGACGUCUCUCAGAAAGCAAGCUGCCUCUCUCCAAGGACAUAAAUCUGUAGAACUGUGGCAUCCCAGGAGCUCGGAGCAAUAAAUAAAGAAAAUCAACCCCAGUGCUCUCACAGCUCGCCACCACCCGAGCCGAGCAGAUGAACUCUGGCUGGAAGCAGAGCCGCGAAGUCUGCAGUGAGAGACGUCGCUGACUCAUCGAGGGCAGCCUGCCGGCCUCGGGGAAACAGCUGGAGACAGAGCCCAAGAGAGGAGCAGGAGGAGGAGGCAGCACCCGGUGUGUGCCACGAUUUCCAUGCAAGGGUACAAGGAUCUCAGCAAAGAGCUUGGUCCCUCAAGCUCCCUUUUCCAUCUAGGGGAAAAGCCUCUACUGAUGUAGAGGGACUCCUAGAAGUAGGAAGAAGCCUCUUCCCCUUUAGUAAAUAAAUACUACCCCCUGCUUUCACUUUGCUGCUCCAAAACGCUGCCUCUGGUCUUUAAGCACCACCUCCGCUGCCUGCAAUGGCAGCAGGGCUGUUAGCUGCUGUGAUUUAGAGACCGGAGGAGGCCACAGAGGCCGCUUCCUUCUGCAGUGCACAGGGCAGCGAGAGCUCAGAAACCUGCAGACAGCUGCCAGACCCAGCGGAGAGGGAAGAGGGAAAAGCCCUUCCCCAGUCCCUAGGAGUUUUUUUCCUGCACACGCUCUGUGCUGUCAGCACCCAGCAGAGGGGGGGGGACACGUCUGGCGCAGUUCUACACGUGGCAACAGGCCCAGGUCUGGGGCUGUAUUUGGUGUUGUGCUACUCUAGAUAAAAGCUGUUUUAAGAGCAGCCCCCGGGUCACUCAGCAUGGUGACCUGCCGUGCACCUGGAUGGGUGAAGGGAGCAGAGGUGGUGUUCCUUGCUCAUCCAGAGACAGUGCUUCUUGGAUGUGUUCAGUCUCUUUUUAGUGUGGGAAAAGGCACUCCUAGUUCUUCUAUAUCCAGCUCCUCUCAUACAGCACUAUUUAGGUGCCUUCGGUCUCUGGCUUAGCAUGAUGAACAAGUCCUAAUGGCUGCAAUUGAGCCCACACUGCUAAGAAAUCUUGUGUGCUCUCUCUUGCAAAGGGCCUGAUUUAGCCCAGUGCUUUGGAGUAUUCAUCAGCUAAUGACUCUGUCUUGCUGCUGUUAACUCCUGCUAUUAUCUUCGAAGCCUAGAAAUAGGAAGAAAAUACCCUGGUAUCUCCUUGAUAGCAACAAAAUAAUUACUUUGUUUUCCCUGAGGACAUUCAGCUUGAGGUGUGUGUGCUCUCUCCCUUCCUGCUGGAGUUAUUUCAUGCAAAGCAAUGGUCUUUCCAUUUCCAUAAUUUAAAACCUGUAUCAGGCUUAACAACUCCCCGCUCUGUCAUUCUGCUGACAGAUCAGGGAGUGAUGAUAACUUUCUCGUGUCAAAGUAACUAAUGAGAAGGAAAUUAUCUGUCUCUCUGUGGAAAUGCUGCUGUUCUUAGCUCCUGUGGGAUGCUGCUGGUCCCCACUGGCGAUGACAGACCCCGAUGACAGUGCCAUGGGCCAUGUGAUGGAGGAGCUGUGGGGCGGCCAUGGGGCCAGACACUGGUGGAUGUUACAUACACUCAUAAAAAUCUUUAACUGCACCUGUGUCAUGGGAUAGUCCAUGGGUUGAGGUGAAUUUGACAGUCAGUAGUGUCUCGCCACACGGAGUUAAUCCAGCUAUGUAUUUUUUUGCCUGUGCUCUGAUCACUGACAAGCACUAGGACAGUCACAGCAAUGUACUAUUUGACUAUAUAUAGUGCUAUCAUAAAAAUAGUUGUAUUAAAAACAGCAUGGGAGCUGCACGUCUCAAGGAAAGGAGCUGGAUUUUCACACAAACUGAUUCCUCCGGCAGGUUCCUGCCCUUCUCCUGGGUCCCACUUUCAUUUCUCAAAACAUUUCCCUCCCUUUGGCACUAGCUGACGCUCUGCAGCAGCUUCAGCAGAAACUCGCGACGGUCGAGGCGAGGAAAAUCAUUUCCGUCCCCCAGCUGUUCUCUCAAUGCUUGCCUGACUGGCUGGUUUGCCUCCCCACUCCUAAAACUCACGGAGCCCAUAUGGUAUUUAUUCUAACAUGUUUGCAGUGCCACUGGGCGGAGUGUGUCCUAUUUAUUGCACACUUAGUUUCUGAGCACUUUGGAGCACCACUGGAAGUAAAUAACUGGCUUUAUAAGACGAUGCUUGUAACUUGUUGCUCCAGAUGAGGAUUCUCUGGUUUCUCUAAGAUGUACAGAGGGUGAUUGUUGGAGGCUGGAGUAGCAGCUGUAAUCCCAGUUGCAGAUCAAGGGGAAUUACACGCUGCCACCACCUCCUCACCUGCACCCUCCCUCUCAGCAGGCACAUGGAUUUCUUUGCCUUUGGCUCCUUUAUUCAGGUCUGGGGCAAAGCCCACACUACCUCCACUGCUGCGAAUCUGUCUGCUGACACAUAGCACAGACUUCUUUGUGUGUCAGAAUUUACCAGCCAGGCACUAAUAUUGAUUUUUAGCUUGUUUGGCAUGUAGAGUGAAAAUCCAAUGCUGCUUUUGUAUGAGGAGCCAUUUCAUACUUUCAUAAGAGACAUCAGAAAAAAAUCCAUCAAUUACUGGGGUCUCUUCAGGGGAACUAAUUAUUGUGCUACACAUACCUAUUCUGAAAACUUAAUAAUAUCUCGAGAUGCUGUCAAAAGUUCUUUGGAGGUCUUACAGCCCACUAGGGAAUCCUCUGCUGUUCUUUUUUUUUUUUUUUUUUUUUUUUUAAUGAAUCAUCAAAUGUUACAAGAAGGAGCUGGACUGAAAACCCUGUAUUGACACCAACUCAGGGUGGUUGGGUGGUCUUGUUCCCUUUUGGACAGGGGGAAAGAUUUUUGCCUUUUUUUUUUUUUUUUUUUUUUUUUUUUUAAUACCUAGAUCAUGUUAGAUUUUGUUAGCUUUACCUUAGGUCAACUGUUUAACCGUGACUGCCCAUUGCGAUGCUCUCAGGGAACCGGAGAUGGAUCCUGCUGUCUCUAAUGGGAAUUGUCCCAACUGGAGCAAUGAACAGGCAGCCUUUGUUUUGUUUUGUUUUCUUCUGGCAGAGGGAGGUUAUCCUAGCAUUGGGCAGAAGGCAAAAGCCAACAGUUGCAGAUCUGUCUUAGUUACUCCUUGCAUGAAUGCAGCAGGAUCCUAGGGGGGCACCAGGUAUUUUUUUUUUUUUUUUUUUUUAAUCUUGUUUGACAGUUCAACAAAUGCCCAGCAGGACUGAGGACUCCACCCCAGUCCAGAGGCAUAUUUUUGAUGAUUGUGAUUAUCUUGGCUGCAGUGUUAUUGGAAUAUUCCCCCUCUUUCAGAGUUACGCAUACCAAGGUCUACUGCAUGCUAUGGCAAGGUUUUAGGCAUGUAUUAGGGCCAAAAGAGGGGGGGGUCUUUGCAUGGCACUGCAGUGUGUCAGGUUCUCCUCCCCUCUUUAUGUUUUGCAGUUGCUUUAUGCCUUCAAAACCUGGCACCUAACCCUGCAUGGGCAGUGUUAGGGCUCAGCAUGCUGCCUGAAAAUCACCUGAAUGUCAUUCAGAGAGGUUGUGUGCCAGUCAUUAUUCCCAUCCUGAGCCUGUACUGGAGCAGAUAGGCUUGCAUCAGGACACAGAGGCUUGCACGAGGCUCAGCUUCCAGGAGGUACAACAUCAAGAAAGGCUUUUAAAAUGGCAGUUUAUGCUGGAGUGCUCCCUUCUGCAUAGGAGAUGGUUUGGAGGAGGUUUUUUUUUUUUUCAUCUCAUCAGAAAGAAAGAGGAGUGGUGCAAGCCAGCAGCAGAGAAGGCGUCCCACAGCUCUGUGCAAAAGCCAGAGGUGAUGUUAUUGUCUGCAAGAAGACAAACCAGAGCUGUGAUAGAAAUAUACCCUGGUCUUUUCCCAUUUGCACUUCCAGAUGGCUGUUAUAAAACACAGAGACAUGAAGUAUAUGCCUGAAUCUGUCACAGAUGACAAAACCAUGCUUGUGGAUCACGCUAAUCCCAUCAUGUCUGGCCCUUAUGUCCUCUUGGGCGUGUUACUAAUCCCUGUGGCUCUCCAAAGAACUAGAUUUUCCUUUAGACG